AGUGAGCGCUGGCGGUAGGCCUAACACAUGCAAGUCGAACGGCAGCACAGUAAGAGCUUGCUCUUACGGGUGGCGAGUGGCGGACGGGUGAGGAAUACAUCGGAAUCUACUUUUUCGUGGGGGAUAACGUAGGGAAACUUACGCUAAUACCGCAUACGACCUACGGGUGAAAGCAGGGGAUCUUCGGACCUUGCGCGAUUGAAUGAGCCGAUGUCGGAUUAGCUAGUUGGCGGGGUAAAGGCCCACCAAGGCGACGAUCCGUAGCUGGUCUGAGAGGAUGAUCAGCCACACUGGAACUGAGACACGGUCCAGACUCCUACGGGAGGCAGCAGUGGGGAAUAUUGGACAAUGGGCGCAAGCCUGAUCCAGCCAUACCGCGUGGGUGAAGAAGGCCUUCGGGUUGUAAAGCCCUUUUGUUGGGAAAGAAAAGCAGCAGGUUAAUACCCCGCUGUUCUGACGGUACCCAAAGAGUAAGCACCGGCUAACUUCGUG
Molecule: ribosomal RNA, 492 nt
Filed under: uncultured bacterium
Lineage: Bacteria
Description: partial 16S ribosomal RNA
Rfam family: Bacterial small subunit ribosomal RNA
Source: RNAcentral